GCUGGGCACGGUGGCACAUGCCUGUAAUCCCAGCAGCUCAGGAAGCUGAAGCAGAAGGAUCACAGGUUGGAAGCCAGCCUCAGCAACUCAGCAAGGCCCUAAGCAACUCAGUGAGACCCUGUCUCUA
This 127-nucleotide small RNA is filed under the name Marmota monax (woodchuck). Lineage: Eukaryota; Metazoa; Chordata; Mammalia; Rodentia; Sciuridae. The record is from RNAcentral.